This 461-nucleotide ribosomal RNA is filed under the name Acanthamoeba genotype T15. RNAcentral describes it as "partial 18S ribosomal RNA". It matches the Rfam family "Eukaryotic small subunit ribosomal RNA", at positions 793 to 1108 of the family's 1831-position model. Lineage: Eukaryota; Discosea; Longamoebia; Acanthamoebidae. The record is from RNAcentral.
AGGUAUGGGCGGAUUGGGAAGAAGCCACAUACUGYCACCGAAUAAUUCCUWWGGGAKAAUGGRGRAGAGGGGAAAAGGUUUGGGGUGUUGGUUWYCGAGGACCGGGUAAUGAUAAAAAAGAAWRGUUGGGGGCAUUGAUAUUUAAUUGKCAGAGGUGARAUUCUUGGAUUUAUGAAAGAUCAACUUCUGCGAAAMAWCKGCCRAGGAUGUUUUCAUUAAUCAAGAACGAAAGUUAGGGGAUCGAAGACGAUCAGAUACCGUCGUAGUCUUAACCAUAAACGAUGCCGACCAGCGAUUAGGAGACGUUGAAUACAAAACACCACCAUCGGGCGGCCGUCCUUGGCCGUGCGUGGGCGCGCGCGUGCGGGUGGCGACAUCCGUGCGCGUGCCGUCGGCGUACGGCGGGGACGGUCCCGUCCCGGUUUUUUUUUUGAAUGACUCCCCUAGCAGCUUGKGAGAAG